This is a long non-coding RNA of Xenia sp. Carnegie-2017, 371 nucleotides long. RefSeq lists it as uncharacterized. The transcript has 2 exons. The record is from RefSeq and is a predicted model, not a curated record. NCBI's taxonomy places the organism in Eukaryota, Metazoa, Cnidaria, Anthozoa, Malacalcyonacea, Xeniidae.
AAUGUAUUCCCUGUGUGUCUCAUCAUGGUUCUACUGGUUAAUGUUCAUGUAUUCUUAUAUCUCAUCAUGGUUCUACUGGUUGAUAUUUGUGUACUGACUGUAUGUUUCUCAUAAGAACUGAAAGCAAACAUACAAAUGAUGAAAAACACAAUGUGUUGGAUUUUUUGGUAAUGAAGCACUAUAUAAAGCCUCCAUUUGAUAUCUUUGACAUUCUUUACAAUAAAAGCAAUAUUUGUAAAAUAAUUUUCUAUAUCUUUCAUUUGCAAUACUAAUUUUAUUUUUAUCCAUUUUUCCAAAAUAAAUCACCUAUUCUCCACUAAAUGUUAGUAUGAAAAUGAAUAAAGUUUACAAUUUAAUGAGGUUACAAUAAA